CGUACACUCCUGCGGGAGGCAGCAGUGGGGAAUAUUGGACAAUGGGCGCAAGCCUGAUCCAGCCAUGCCGCGUGAGUGAUGAAGGCCCUAGGGUUGUAAAGCUCUUUCACCGGUGAAGAUAAUGACGGUAACCGGAGAAGAAGCCCCGGCUAACUUCGUGCCAGCAGCCGCGGUAAUACGAAGGGGGCUAGCGUUGUUCGGAUUUACUGGGCGGAAAGCGCACGUAGGCGGACUAUUAAGUCAGGGGUGAAAUCCCGGGGCUCAACCCCGGAACUGCCUUUGAUACUGGUAGUCUUGAGUUCGAGAGAGGUGAGUGGAAUUCCGAGUGUAGAGGUGAAAUUCGUAGAUAUUCGGAGGAACACCAGUGGCGAAGGCGGCUCACUGGCUCGAUACUGACGCUGAGGUGCGAAAGCGUGGGGAGCAAACAGGAUUAGAAACCCCUGUAGUCCCAUG
RNAcentral lists this ribosomal RNA (453 nucleotides) under uncultured organism. Its description in RNAcentral is "partial 16S ribosomal RNA". It matches the Rfam family "Bacterial small subunit ribosomal RNA", at positions 330 to 799 of the family's 1533-position model. The record is from RNAcentral.